CACCGAGAACACGCGGGCAGACGCAUUAAUUGGACUUGCGUUUUACGUCUCAUUAACCACGAUUUUCCUGCUACUUCGUUAUCUGGUUUGUUUAAAUUAAUUGCCGCGCUCCGCUCAAGGAAGUCUUAUUUACCAGAUACGCGCCGCAUCGGUGCCGGGAUCGGCGCCUAACCUCGUCGAAACGUGCGAUUCUAUUCUUCGGGAUCUAUCUAAAAGACUCGUUAACAUUUUUGUAAGCAGGGGAUGUAUAUCGAGGAGAUUCAAAAACUACGAGGGAAGGACACCUCAUUGGUCGUACAGAAUUUUUAAAUGCUUAUACGAAGGUUCCUUGAAUGCAAAUGAAAUAAUUGCACACUCCAAAGAUGUCGCUGCCCCAUCGUAAAAUUUCCGAGUCCAAAGCCGCCUCGAGGUCGUAACAUGGUACAUCGUCGAACUCACCUUGAUAUCAACUAUGAAGUUAAAAAUAGGAGGACGUAAACAGCUUCCACAAUAGCGCAACACUUGUGCCUACAGUCAAUGCAACAGGAGUCCACGUCGAUUUAUCUUGACAAUAUUCCGCUCUCGUGAUUCCGAGGACUUGCGUGUCCGAUUAAUAGCCGAACCGCUGGUGCUCCGGCCGGUUGGUGGCAAGCUCGAGGAAGACGGAGACCGCCGGGCGUAGAAACGACGAGGACACCCUGGUUUAUGCUCACUGUCUGGCUCACGACAGGGAGUGGGAGGAGGAACACGCACACACGGCCGCAUAAAUAACGCGUGUGCACACAGAGGAUCGGAGUUACGGUACGGCUUACGUGCAAACGAACGAAGCGAGACAAGGCGAGCGCCCAGUGGGACGAGGACGCGAUCACGGGUCGCGGAACGCUGGAAACAAGGACGAAAGAGGAUGUAGUCGGCGGACAUUUACGAAGGGAACCGAGUCCCUCCAACAUGUAGGAGAGCCCGUAGUACACACAGAGAGGGGUAUAUCGAUUUUACGACGUUCGAUCACCUGAACGAAGAUUUUUCGAGCGCCGCGAGGAGCGGAGGGAACUUCGAACCAUCGUCACUCGCCACGGUAUCCAUCAAUGAAUAAAUACGUCUACGGACGCGUCAAUCGACCGGGAGGCAUCUUGGAAAUGCCUCUGUCGAAGUAUAUCUUUGCAUUGGAUUCCAAUUUGUAUCAUUUCUUUUACGUAAACGAAAAUCUCUACACUUCGGAUAUGUGGACAGUAGAAAUGGGUUCUGUUCUCCAUUCUUGAAGAGACCGGCACGGAGUGUCGUAGAGCAUAAUAAAUAAAUGUACAGGAGGUGUACUGUUCGUUCUAAUUUGCUCAUUUGUACGCAAAGGUGUCAAGGAGAUUUCAAGGUCUGCAACUUUUUUUUAAACGGAACAACCUGUACGUUUCUCUGUAUGCAGAAGCAGCGUAGUCUACAUUCGGUCGAUUUUAACGACCAUGGUCACGCAAGGUCAAUAAAGGUCGUAGAUAAUAAUAAAUAAGCUUCCGUGUAGGGUUCAUUCGCGAACGACGCAAAAUUCCAGUAUUUAUUUGAUCUAUUUUGGGAACCAUAAAUCGCGAGACCGUAGAGAUACCGAUCUGUUUAACACGUCUAGGUUAAUUUUUAUGAAAAAAAUUUCCGACAAACCUUAAGACCUCGUUUGUUUCGGUUGACAGUUUUUCUCGGAAUAUUGCGUAGGCGAAUAAUCGUUGGGAUUUCACAAUUGCGACUUAUUAGAGAUAAUUAUGAAUUUUCUGUGGAAGUGUAUACACGGUAACGAGUACAUCCACACGGGCGAAACUUCCUUUGCGAAACGUGGUUCUGUUUGCAAUUUUUCCGAGAACGUUACGCAAACGAUUAGGAAGAUAUGUUGGUUUAAUGCUUGCCAAUUUUUGUAACGCCCUCAGGGGCUGUAGCUAUGCCCGAUUGCAGCUACAGUACGGGUUUACCGAUCCCGAGGUACCCGAGCUAUAACUAACGAUCGAAGUCAAGAAUGAAUGGUUGCCUUAAUAAAAUU
Molecule: long non-coding RNA, 1993 nt
Organism: Hylaeus volcanicus
Lineage: Eukaryota; Metazoa; Arthropoda; Insecta; Hymenoptera; Colletidae
Exons: 5
Source: RefSeq, a predicted model, not a curated record